UAAUGCAUACAAUGCGCACUGUGCUCUCUAACUUACACUUAAUAUAAUGGCGCUUUCCUUACACUUUGCUCGUAACUGGAGGGACGCUGCAGAAGGUGACGUGCAACGUUACUUUGGUUGUGGCUACAGUUAUCCCCGCUGACGCAACCGAAACCGAAACUGACCUAGUCUCGUGUUGAGACGUGUAAACAAGGGUGGCGGUUAUUCUGUGAGGUAAACAUUGCGCAAUACUGCAUUGCGGAUGCCAUCGGCUUGCCGCCGUUGCCACCUUUGAAUUAUUCCAUACCCCGCGUCCAUACCUGCAUCUUGCCUUGUCACCGCUGGUCAUCGUUUUGAGAACUAAAGCGGGCUGACCUGCCUGCGGCAAAGUUGACAUGGCCUGAGUACAGCCAUUAAGCAACUCUCCAUGGCGCCAAGGUAUUGUGUUGUGAAGAGCUGUGGCAAGAAAGAAGGCGACAACGUUGUGUUUCAUUACUUUCCUUCCGACGACGAUCAAAGGAAAGCCUGGACCGCGUUCGUGCAGGCCGUCCGAGGUACCAAUUGGACGCCGGGAAGACGCAGUCAGGUAUGCUCCCUGCACUUCUCGUCGGACUGCUACCUAUACAACAUGCAGUACUGCGCCGACUUUGGUCUACCGACGAGGCGAAACUACCUGAAAAAGGGUUCAGUGCCUACUUUGUACCCUGCUGGUGCAGUACUCAUCACUGCACCGCCCACGUGUCCAGGAACGAAUGUGCGUAAUAUUGCGACUGCCACUGCUGUUGGUAUCAUACGAACUGACUCCUGGAGCAGUGGAAGUUGCAUUCACGUGUGUGGUGCACCAAGUACAGGCCCAGGUAACAGAAUGUGUAAAAGCUGCCCCAGCCCAUAUACUCCAAGGAGAGACGUUCUCCACCCGAGAAAGAUUACUAGGAAGAGAGCAGACACAUGGAAGAAUUAAGAGGCAAGGGACAUGACAGUGCAAGUGUGCUGAUGGAGAAUGAAUGGUCUAGGGGACAGAAAUGCACUCCAUUCUGCACAUGUUUCCACACAAGAAACCCACCAGAUCCACCACUGGGACCAACUCGCAAUUAUACUAUAAUGGCAAGUGUAGCUGUUGCAACUCUUCCAAUGGGGAAAGUCAGUGCAGUCACUCAAUGCUCAUUGCCACUAACAGUGAAAUCAACACAGGCCAUGCUGAGUAAAAGGACGAGGAAUGUGGGAGUGCAAGCAGAAGUGAAAACAAGAACUCCAGGGUACACCAAAAGGCAACCUUGACACAACUGGCCAAUCAUAAAUGGAAUACCUGUCUUCUGGGCCUGCUGGCUUUCAAGCAUUGCAGGUUUCCAGACUGAUUAUGUACAUCUUGAUGUUGUGCUCUCUUCAAAGAUGUUUCCCGAAUGCUCAACAGCACUGCCUACAGGACCAAUAAUUCUGGGAAAACUUAGUGGCUGAAACAUAUCACUCAGCCAUAAGAAACCAUUUGUGUUCAACAAAGCCUUCAGUGAAACUGUGACUUCAUUAUAUCGAGGUCAAGCCGUGUGGAUUCAUAUUUGCAUUCGCUGCAUAUGACAGCUUCACAAAUGAGGUGCGAUUAUCAGAAUCAAGUGGCUACUGGAUGACAUCUAGCAGGUAUCACCACAGCUUACAAGUAUAUGGUGUUGAUCCCUUCUCUUGCUCACUACCUACCUUCAACAGCUGCACCUGAUCCCUCUGUGUAAUACUGUCAAGGUUACAGCACCUCCUUUUGGCACAGUUUAACGACCUUUGAGUUCUUGUAAAGUGUGCUGUCUUGCAGACUAUUACCGUGGUCGGCAUCCCUUUCAAGUUGUUGUGACUUGUAAGUAAGAGUUGUUUUAUUAACGGGAAGGACAACUGUCCGGAAUGUGUCUUGAGAUUAUAGUGCCGAUGGAAAGAUUGCAACUCGCAAUGAUAGGCGCAAGCAUAAGUUUAUUCCUUAGCCCUCUCAGUGUUAAUGAUGUAGCUGAACAUUCUCACAUUUCUGUCCCGCCAUGUCAUUGACGUCAAAUAGAAAUGUGAGAACCACACCAAAAGAGCAUUGGCUAUUAUCCAUGUCAUUUUCUCCCUUUUACCUUACCAAAAAUAAACCGUUGGGUUCAUUUUAUAAUAUCCAACAAAAACACCCCAUGCUGGAGGUGCGUCAGCUCUGAAGAAAUCUGACAUUGAAAAACUUAAAUAAGGAAUUAAGUUUUUAAAUAAGCACUGAAACUCGCGCAGAAAUGACAGUGAGGAGUAGAUGGCACUCCGUGGUGAAACGUGUCGGUAAGCCCUUGAAGACUGUGUCCAUUUCCACAUAAAUGUACAGGCCUCAGUUUGGUUUCAAAUGCUAUGUCUAUAUAAAGUCACAAAAAUGUUUAUUUCCUAAUAUUGCAAAUUGUCUCUACCUAUGUAUCUGUAAUCUGCAAAUAGUCUUAUAGAGAAGUUGCGCUUCCUGUGUGCAAGAAAACUGAGCCAAUAAUUGACAAAGCACCAUUGUCUUGCGAGCUUCCCACAAGUACAAAACCAGCAACUGUACUGCACAGCCUGUACCGCAGUGGCGUGCAGGUGUCUGCAUGCCAACCGACAGCGAGUUUUUGGAAUGACCUCGCUGGCUGCGCAUCAUGCACCGCCGCUCACCUCAGGCGACUCGGUCAACUCGGUGUCGACGGCACCCGCCUAUCCCGCAUUCGCAAGUGGCACAUCAAAAAGAACCACUGACGGUCACAAAACAUAUGCGUAUGAGAUCACUCAACUUUCUCCACUUCAGAAUUUUAUUGAGUAAAGGAACAUGUGCUCAUGUC
RNA transcript from Dermacentor albipictus, 2780 nucleotides. RefSeq lists it as uncharacterized. The record is from RefSeq and is a predicted model, not a curated record. Lineage: Eukaryota; Metazoa; Arthropoda; Arachnida; Ixodida; Ixodidae.